CUGAUUUUUUUCUGGUUAAGCAAUUUGGUUGUAGUUAGCACUUCCUAACUAGAAGUACAAGCGAUUUUCAAAUGGGUCUUUUCUAACUUAUGGAGACAAAUGCUGAAAAUAAUGACUUUGUAUGCAACCUGACUUAAAGUCAUUACCACAAAAACAUUCAUUGAUUUUUUAGGAGAAGAAUUUUAGAAGAAAAACUAAAAAGAACCAUGAACCAGUUAAGCAAGUGAUGAAAUUUAGGCUAUAAUUUUGACAGAAUCUUUUUUUAUUUUUGUUUUGUUUUUAUUUUUGAGAUGAAAUCUCACUCUGUCGCCCAGGCUGGAGUGCAGUGGCACCAUCUUGGCUCACUAAAACCUCCGUCUCCUGCGUGGUUCAAGCAAUUCUCCUUCCUCAGCCUCCUGAGUAGCUGGGAUUACAGGCGGCCGCCACAGAGCCCAGCUAAUUUGUGUCUCCAUCUUGGUCAGGCUGGUCUUGAACUCCUGACCUCGUGAUCCACCCGCCUCGGCCUCUCAAAGUGCUGAGAUUACAGACCUGAGCUGCUGCGCCCAGCCGACAGAACCUUUCUAUGCAAAAUGUAAAAAAAUGAAGACUGGAAAAGAUCCUAAAUGGAAUAGUCACUUUGUUUUUGUUUUUUUUGUUGUUGUUGCUGUUUGCUUGUUUGUUUGUUUUUUGAGAUAAGGUCUUGCUCUGUCACCGAUGCCGGAGGUCAGCGGUGCAAUCUCAGCUCACUCCAACCUUCACCGCUUGGGCUCAAGUGAUUCUCCCACCUCAGCCUCCUAAGUCGCUGGAACCACAGGCAGGCAAGGAUGCUUGAGAAAAAUAUGAGAAAACUACAGAAACAACUCAAAACUUUUCUGACUUCCUUAAAAGAACAUCUCCACGGAGGUUUACAGUGAGCUGGUAACAGAGCUGCUGCACUCCAGCCUGGGUGACAGAGUGAGACUGUCUAAAAAAAAAUAAAAAUAAAAAAAAGAACGUCUCCAAUUUUAAUGCAUUUCUUUGUUCAUGGAAAUAU
RNAcentral lists this long non-coding RNA (1012 nucleotides) under Homo sapiens (human). RNAcentral describes it as "HSALNT0362430". Lineage: Eukaryota; Metazoa; Chordata; Mammalia; Primates; Hominidae. The record is from RNAcentral.